UGGACGGCGACGAUCUGUGCGUGGACGUGGAUGAGUGCGACAGUGGUCACUGCGAGUUCAACUGCACCAACACCCCCGGCGGAUACCAGUGCCACUGUCCCCCCGGCUACUACCUCCGCGGCCUCGACUGCAUCCUGGACGGCGAUGGCGAGGAAGCGUCCUCGGGGGAUUUGGAGCCCGAACCGCACGAGCCGGUCCCCAGCCGGCCCCCGCCGAAAGCGGAGCACCUGCACCCCGGGGUGCUGGCGGGCAUCGCGGUGAGUGCCCUUCUGAGCCUCCUGGCCCUGCUGGCUCUGGGAUUCUACCUGGCCAGGAAGCGCUGUCGUUCCCACGGCUCUGUGGAUUACAAGUACAGCGGCCCCCAUGAGAAGGAGCUGGGGCUUCAGCCCGUCCCCUCGGCACAGAAGCCGUAGGGACAUCCGUCGGACGGACAUUGGGAGGCCAAAGUGGGUGACAUUUAUCCGCCGCUAACCACCCCCCACUACCACCCCCCCUCCCCCGCCCCUUCCCCGCUGCCCGGCUGGAAUUUUUGAAUGAUAAUUGGGGAAAAGCUGUGAUCGCACCACUCCCAGAAAUACUCGCUGCUUCCCAGCCGGCUCUUGGAAUGCUAGUGCCGGAGAGCGGGAACAGCAGGACACCCAGAGGCUGCUCCGUUCCCCCUUCUUUGGCAUUCAGCUUUCCUUUUCCCGAGUGAGCAGUCGGGAAAACCGCAAGGAAAAACCCAGGAGAGACGACUCCGUGUGUAAGUGACUCUAAAUCCGUGGGAUGAGAGCACGGUGUGACCAAGACGGGGACUUUGGAAGGACACCUUGACCCAAAUCCGCCUCCCUCGGGCUGGAUGGUUUUCCCGGACUGGAAGGCUCCUGCUUUUCUUUGGGGUGGGGUUUGUUUGUUUUAAGCUGAGGGAAUGAGGAGCAAAGAUGUUGUGGGAAGCACUUGUCACCUUAAGCCACAGGUGAGAGCAGGCUCGAUGUCACCAAGGGGGGAUUCAACUUAUUCCCAUUCCGUCUCCUUAUUUUUUGCGGGGUGUGGAGGUUAAACAGGGACACGAAGGCUGCCGGGAUGGGUUUUGUAGGAAAGGUUUGCAGUGCUGCAGAACCACAUCCAGUUCCUUCCAUGACUUUCCACUGUUGUUGCCUUAAAUUGUUGGAUUUGGGAUAUUUUUACGACCCCUCCCACCCAAAGAGAUUUUCCCUGUUCCCUCGUGCAGGGUUGACUCUAUCCCAAAGUAAAACAUUCCCAGGGGGCGGGAUCCAGCGCGCCGCUCAUUCCCAGCCACGGACCGUGUGGGAGUUCUGAGAAGAAUCUAGUUUUCCAGCUCCAUCCUUCCCUGGGGAGCCAAAGGGGGUCCUCUUCGGGCUGCCGUUGGAUCGGGAGCGUCAGAGCACGUGCUGGCAGCUUUAUGCUGGUGAAAUAUUAUCCCGGAGUGGUGGAAGUUUUGGAAGCCUGGGAUCAGAACUGGGGGGUUCUGUUCCCCAGCAUUCUCCCCUCCCACCCUAUGAACUUCCCAGCACGCAUCUCCCCUGGAAUGCUAAACCUCCGCUGCAAAUUCCCAGGAAAAUCAAAAUGAGGCAUUUAUGGGAAUUGUGGUUUUCCUAAAAGGUCGUUAUCCUGAAGGCUGGAUAACUGAGGGUCCUGUCCAUGGAUCUCUUGGAAUGGAUUAAAGUGAAACCACAUGGAGUGAGGGCUGUAAAUCUGUGGAUGUGCCAGGUUUAUUUUAGGACAAUUUGGCUGCAGUGGGAAGGAGGGAGCUGUUGUGAUUAUCCAUAAUUAUCCGUGAUUAUCCAGAAAGAGAUAUCAAAAUAUAAAGGUGUCACUUUGGAAAAUAUCCAAGGAAAAGGAAGGGAAAGAAAGGAUAAGGUUUGGGAGUGGAAAGACUUUGCUGAGGCAUCAUUUCACCUGCAGAAUCUGCUUCCCAUGGAUCUUUCCUUGUUAUCCAGCUCAAACCCCUGCUCAUUCCUGGAUGGAUCCGAGGUUUUGCCACCACAUCCCCAAAACCUCCUCCUUCCCCCUGAUCUCAAAUUCCCACUUCGGAGUUUUAUCUUAUCACAAAUUCCUUCCUUACUGUGUGUCAGAAAACUGAAUUCUUGGCACUCCCUGUUUUAGCCUCUCCCAGCCCCACCUGCUCCUCCCGGGCCCUUUUGUAAAUCCUUAUUUAUUUAUUGGAAUUUUACUCUGUGUGAGGGAUUGUCUCAUGGAGAUCCUGUGUGGACACCAAUAAAGUUUUGCCAAUCUGGUUUAGACUAA
Taeniopygia guttata (zebra finch) is the source of this 2247-nucleotide long non-coding RNA. The record is from Ensembl. NCBI's taxonomy places the organism in Eukaryota, Metazoa, Chordata, Aves, Passeriformes, Estrildidae.